UGCAGUCGAGCGGACGUUUUUGAAGCUUGCUUCAAAAACGUUAGCGGCGGACGGGUGAGUAACACGUGGGCAACCUACCUUAUCGACUGGGAUAACUCCGGGAAACCGGGGCUAAUACCGGAUAACAUCUAGCACCUCCUGGUGCCGGAUUAAAAGAGGGCUUCUUGCUCUCACGAUGAGAUGGGCCCGCGGCGCAUUAGCUAGUUGGAGAGGUAACGGCUCCCCAAGGCGACGAUGCGUAGCCGACCUGAGAGGGUGAUCGGCCACACUGGGACUGAGACACGGCCCAGACUCCUACGGGAGGCAGCAGUAGGGAAUCUUCCGCAAUGGACGAAAGUCUGACGGAGCAACGCCGCGUGAGUGAUGAAGGGUUUCGGCUCGUAAAGCUCUGUUAUGAGGGAAGAACACGUACCGUUCGAAUAGGGCGGUACCUUGACGGUACCUCAUCAGAAAGCCACGGCUAACUACGUGCCAGCAGCCGCGGUAAUACGUAGGUGGCAAGCGUUGUCCGGAAUUAUUGGGCGUAAAGCGCGCGCAGGCGGCCUUUUAAGUCUGAUGUGAAAUCUUGCGGCUCAACCGCAAGCGGCCAUUGGAAACUGGGAGGCUUGAGUACAGAAGAGGAGAGUGGAAUUCCACGUGUAGCGGUGAAAUGCGUAGAUAUGUGGAGGAACACCAGUGGCGAAGGCGACUCUCUGGUCUGUAACUGACGCUGAGGCG
RNAcentral lists this ribosomal RNA (717 nucleotides) under Alkalicoccobacillus gibsonii. RNAcentral's name for it is "bacterial SSU rRNA". It matches the Rfam family "Bacterial small subunit ribosomal RNA", at positions 56 to 753 of the family's 1533-position model. Lineage: Bacteria; Bacillati; Bacillota; Bacilli; Caryophanales; Bacillaceae. The record is from RNAcentral.